GACGGAGGGGGCUAGCGUUGUUCGGAAUGACUGGGCGUAAAGGGCGCGUAGGCGGUUUUUUAAGUGAGGCGUGAAAGCCCUGGGCUUAACCCAGGAGGUGCGUUUCAGACUGGAAGACUUGAGUGCGAGAGAGGAAAGUGGAAUUUCUAGUGUAGAGGUGAAAUUCGUAGAUAUUAGAAAGAACACCCGUGGCGAAGGCGGCUUUCUGGCUCGCAACUGACGCUGAGGCGCGAAAGCGUGGGGAGCAAAC
RNAcentral lists this ribosomal RNA (250 nucleotides) under uncultured bacterium. Its description in RNAcentral is "partial 16S ribosomal RNA". It matches the Rfam family "Bacterial small subunit ribosomal RNA", at positions 524 to 773 of the family's 1533-position model. RNAcentral also lists the same sequence under 1 other name. The record is from RNAcentral.